This 406-nucleotide ribosomal RNA is filed under the name uncultured bacterium. RNAcentral's name for it is "partial 16S ribosomal RNA". It matches the Rfam family "Bacterial small subunit ribosomal RNA", at positions 30 to 526 of the family's 1533-position model. The record is from RNAcentral.
AUUGAACGCUGGCGGCAGGCCUAACACAUGCAAGUCGAACGAGUGGCGGACGGGUGAGUAAUGUCUGGGAAACUGCCUGAUGGAGGGGGAUAACUACUGGAAACGGUAGCUAAUACCGCAUACCAUCGGAUGUGCCCAGAUGGGAUUAGCUAGUAGGUGGGGUAACGGCUCACCUAGGCGACGAUCCCUAGCUGGUCUGAGAGGAUGACCAGCCACACUGGAACUGAGACACGGUCCAGACUCCUACGGGAGGCAGCAGUGGGGAAUCUUCCGCAAUGGACGAAAGUCUGACGGAGCAACGCCGUGUGAGUGAUGACGGCCUUCGGGUUGUAAAGGACUUUUGUCAGGGAAGCGGUACCUGAAGAAUAAGCACCGGCUAACUACGUGCCAGCAGCCGCGGUAAUAC